RNAcentral lists this unclassified non-coding RNA (315 nucleotides) under plant metagenome. RNAcentral describes it as "partial contains 5.8S ribosomal RNA, internal transcribed spacer 2, and large subunit ribosomal RNA". The stretch from base 1 to 105 matches the Rfam family "5.8S ribosomal RNA", at positions 50 to 154 of the family's 154-position model. The record is from RNAcentral.
AAAAUGCGAUAAGUAAUGUGAAUUACAGAAUUCAGUGAAUCAUCGAAUCUUUGAACACACAUUGCGCCCGCCAGUAUUCUGGCGGGCAUGCCUGUUCGAGCGUCAUUUCAACCCUCAAGCCCCCGGGUUUGGUGUUGGGGAUCGGGCUGCGGUUCUACCGCGUCCCGGCCCCGAAAUCUAGUGGCGGUCUCGCUGCAGCCUCCAUUGCGUAGUAGCUAACACCUCGCAACUGGAACGCGGCGCGGCCAAGCCGUUAAACCCCCAACUUCUGAAUGUUGACCUCGGAUCAGGUAGGAAUACCCGCUGAACUUAAGC